CGACGUAGAAUGAGAUCUCCAUCCCAUUUUUUGAAAAGCAAAAACUUGGUCGUUUUUCUGCUUUUGUUUGUUUUUAGCUGUAAAGAGUAAGGGCGGCGCACCCGGCUUCCUCUUGCUAAUCAGCCCGCAGACCUCCCUGCAGCCUCAGUGCCCGUGGCGGGCACGACACCUGCUGCGGCGUCUCCCUUGCUUCCCACCAAGGUCUAACCACUCGGGGCCUGAUUUCGUUUUCCCUGACUGAUGCCAGCGUGUUUUUCCCCACCGCGCGGCUGCAAAACAGCAUUCGCUAGCGUCUCCGAAGGACAGAAAAUAGCUAUUGAUUAAUCUAUUAGAUUAGUUGCCGAGAGAAAUAAAAACGACGUUAAAAACAAAACAAAACAAAAAACAGGGACCCUCUAAAGAAGCCGAAACUGGCUGCUUGGAGUUGCUUAGCGGUUUAGCAUAUGAAAAAGUCGGAAAUGAGGCGCUGGGGAAGGAGCCGGUAGUGGCCACUGCCUGGGCGUAGCCGUAGCCGCUGUGUCCGAGAUCGAACUUGUACGGGAAACCAGCGGCAGCGCGGGUGGUGGAGGCGAGGAGGUGGCCGGUGCACUCGGAGUUUCCUGCUUAGGAAAGUCAGCGAUGGUAGGCAAGACUGUGGGGACUUCACCGGGAACCGGGGGGCGGCGAGCGGCGUGGCUAGGGCGUGUGGACCCCACACCGCCGAGGGGGAUCGGAGCUUGGGACCCUUGAGUUUGCGGUGCGCCUGCCUCGGUGGCCGGCAUUUAGGCCGCCUUUCCACGAGUGGCGGGCUCCUGGAACCCAAGCCCAUCCUGGCUGCGGACCGCCUGGGGAGGGGAGGGCCGGCCUCAUCAGAGGAAGGAGCGCGAGAGGAGGGGGUUUGAGAGUCAGGAAUCGGUGAAAUAUUUACACAAGUCCCCGGGAAAGUGAUUUAAAUCCGGGUGGACAGUGCACCUUCUGCCUCUCUCAGUCCACCCGUGACCCCUGUCCUUUGCCUGGCACACUAAAUAAAUUAAAAACUAAAAAUAUAUAAACUUGCUCC
This 1039-nucleotide long non-coding RNA is filed under the name Oryctolagus cuniculus (rabbit). Its description in RNAcentral is "lncRNA (ENSOCUG00000031427.1)". Lineage: Eukaryota; Metazoa; Chordata; Mammalia; Lagomorpha; Leporidae. The record is from RNAcentral.